UACGGAAGGCAGCAGUGGGGAAUAUUGCACAAUGGGCGAAAGCCUGAUGCAGCUAUGCCGCGUGUAUGAAGAAGGCCUUAGGGUUGUAAAGUACUUUCAUCGGGGAGGAAAAACAAAACUAAUAAUUUUAUUUCUUGACGUUACCCGAAAAAGAAGCACCGGCUAACUCCGUGCCAGCAGCCGCGGUAAUACGGAGGGUGCUAGCGUUAAUCAGAAUUACUGGGCGUAAAGAGCACGUAGGUGGUUUUUUUAAGUCAGAUGUGAAAUCCCUGGGCUUAACCUAGGAACUGCAUUUUGAAACUGAAAUACUAGAGUAUCGUAGAGGGAGGUAGAAUUCUAGGUGUAGCGGUGAAAUGCGUAGAUAUCUGGAGGAAUACCUGUGGCGAAAGCGGCCUCCUAAACGAAUACUGACACUGGAGGGUGCGAAAGCGUGGGGAGCAAACAGGGAUUAGACUAC
This 457-nucleotide ribosomal RNA is filed under the name uncultured bacterium. RNAcentral describes it as "bacterial SSU rRNA". It matches the Rfam family "Bacterial small subunit ribosomal RNA", at positions 340 to 786 of the family's 1533-position model. The record is from RNAcentral.